GGCUAGAUAGCAUAGCGGCUAAUGUAAAGAGUUGCAAACCCUUUAAGGGUGGUUCGAUUCCACCUCUAGCCU
This 72-nucleotide transfer RNA is filed under the name Cavernulicola chilensis. Its description in RNAcentral is "tRNA-Cys". It matches the Rfam family "tRNA". From Rfam's summary of the family: Transfer RNA (tRNA) molecules are approximately 80 nucleotides in length. Their secondary structure includes four short double-helical elements and three loops (D, anti-codon, and T loops). The record is from RNAcentral. Lineage: Eukaryota; Rhodophyta; Bangiophyceae; Cavernulicolales; Cavernulicolaceae.